CUACGGGGGGCUCCAGUGGGGAAUAUUGCACAAUGGGCGCAAGCCUGAUGCAGCCAUGCCGCGUGUAUGAAGAAGGCCUUCGGGUUGUAAAGUACUUUCAGCGGGGAGGAAGGGAGUAAAGUUAAUACCUUUGCUCAUUGACGUUACCCGCAGAAGAAGCACCGGCUAACUCCGUGCCAGCAGCCGCGGUAAUACGGGAGGGUGCAAGCGUUAAUCGGAAUUACUGGGCGUAAAGCGCACGCAGGCGGUUUGUUAAGUCAGAUGUGAAAUCCCCGGGCUCAACCUGGGAACUGCAUCUGAUACUGGCAAGCUUGAGUCUCGUAGAGGGGGGUAGAAUUCCAGGUGUAGCGGUGACAUGCGUAGAGAUCUGGAGGAAUACCGGUGGCGAAGGCGGCCCCCUGGACGAAGACUGACGCUCAGGUGCGAAAGCGUGGGGAGCAAACAGGAUUAGAUACCCGUGUAGUC
This 465-nucleotide ribosomal RNA is filed under the name uncultured bacterium. RNAcentral describes it as "partial 16S ribosomal RNA". It matches the Rfam family "Bacterial small subunit ribosomal RNA", at positions 339 to 795 of the family's 1533-position model. The record is from RNAcentral.